CAAGAAGUCACUGCUUAACCUAUGUACGGAAUAGAGAAGGACCAGGACAGACAGACGCACAAGGUGGAGAAUGUGUCUGGGCCCUGACAAACAGAGGAGUGGGUGCCUUUCCUGCAAGACUAAAUGGCUAAAACUAAAAACGUUAGCACAAAAAGAGAGACCUAUGCAGGCCACUUGGCAAGUUCCGGGGAGAAUGUCUGGAGUCCCUUUUCACAAGAAGCCUGUCUAGUGCCAUUCAGUUGCACGGCACAGAAAGUGGUGGCCAGUGAUGCUGGUGAGGACUUCAGGGAUCGUGCUCUUCACCAAGCAACAGGUACCAUCUCCUUAAACCCCAAGUUAACUGACCA
This 347-nucleotide long non-coding RNA is filed under the name Falco tinnunculus (common kestrel). RNAcentral's name for it is "lncRNA (ENSFTIG00000003706.1)". Lineage: Eukaryota; Metazoa; Chordata; Aves; Falconiformes; Falconidae. The record is from RNAcentral.